RNAcentral lists this unclassified non-coding RNA (203 nucleotides) under Hevea brasiliensis (rubber tree). The record is from RNAcentral. Lineage: Eukaryota; Viridiplantae; Streptophyta; Magnoliopsida; Malpighiales; Euphorbiaceae.
AGAAAGUCCAAGUGAGUUUGGAUUGCUUUGCAGGCGAGUUUGGACUAUGGUUUCAAAUAACGGCUGUUAUGUUAUUUACAGGUUUUGAAGGGGGCCGUUAUUUAUAGGCAAACAGGUACUUGUAGGUGUAACAGCAAUCGUAGCGGCCGUUACCGACCAUUAAAUAACAAUAACAAACGUUACUUUGAAGAUUCCUCUACCAU